Non-coding RNA from Dasypus novemcinctus (nine-banded armadillo), 60 nucleotides. The record is from Rfam. NCBI's taxonomy places the organism in Eukaryota, Metazoa, Chordata, Mammalia, Cingulata, Dasypodidae.
GGGAAACGGGAGCCGGGCUUGAGACGCGAGCCAUCCCAAGCCCAAGCCCAGGCAGGCUCA